ACAUUUCUUUUAGAUUUUCUUAAAAGUAAAGUCUGCCCACUGUGUAUAUAAAGGGCCGCGGUAUUUUGACCGUGCAAAGGUAGCAUAAUCAUUAGUCCUUUAAUUGGGGAAUGGUAUGAAUGGCUAAAUGAUUUUUUUCUUUAAUUUUCGUAAAAAUAAAAUUUUGAUUUUAAGUGAAAAUACUUAAAUUUAUUAAUUAGACGAUAAGACCCUAUAGAAUUUUAUUCUUAUGAUUUUACAAAUAAAAAAAAAUAAGAGUUUAAAUGGGGCAUUUUUUGAAUAAAAAUAAUUUCUUUUAAAAUAUUUUAAAACUAUCUUAGAUAAAAGACUAUAAAAAAAUUACCUUAGGGAUAACAGCGUUAUUAUUUUUGAGAGUUCGUAUCGACAAAAUAGAUUGCGACCUCGAUGUUGAAUUAAAAUUCCUUUAUGGAGCAGAAUUUAUAAAAGGUAGUCUGUUCGACUAUAAAAUUUUUACAUGAUUUGAGU
Molecule: ribosomal RNA, 486 nt
Filed under: Tomocerus sp. 1 DY-2020
Lineage: Eukaryota; Metazoa; Arthropoda; Collembola; Entomobryomorpha; Tomoceridae
Description: partial large subunit ribosomal RNA
Rfam family: Bacterial large subunit ribosomal RNA
Source: RNAcentral